Long non-coding RNA from Oncorhynchus tshawytscha (Chinook salmon), 6216 nucleotides. The record is from Ensembl. NCBI's taxonomy places the organism in Eukaryota, Metazoa, Chordata, Actinopteri, Salmoniformes, Salmonidae.
CAACACUGAAUUUUCUCCACCUUACACUUCAAACGAACGUACUAGUUGACUUUUCCUGUCGGCGGGUAUUGCAUCGUUAUUUGUGAUUACCAGAAAUAAGAAGGAUCAUGAAUGGAAUUUGAGGUCGAUUUGUAUUCUCAAGUAGGUGGGUCAGCUAUGGCGGUGGCGGUCUAUGAAGAAACUGAAUGCAGAAAACUGCCCUGCACAGGACACAAAUCUUCCACCAGAAACAAGCUCAGCACUGGAAUCUGGUACCUCCAUCUCUAGCAGUAGAGAGGUGUUGCCAGCUCCACCAACAGCUAUCCUGGAGAAUAUGAAUGAAUCUGGAGAGCUAAACCUGAACUUGGCUGAGGGAGGCAAGGGUGGGGGAAGAGUGUAGAGAGGGUAUUCACUGGUGAUGAGGAUACAAGUGGGAUUGUUAAAGAGCUGAGUUGGAACUCCGGUUACCGUGAUAAGGAGGAAAGGAGAGAUGCUUUCUCAGAGGGUGUGAGUGACACAGUCAGUGCAGAGUGGAGAGAGGGAGACUGCUUUGUCCCAGUUGGAGUAGAGGUGACUGAGAUGGCUGCUGAGGGGGAGUUUGAAGAUGGGAUGAGAGCUGAAAUGAAAGAGGGAAAGGGGACAAACAGUUAUGAGUCAGGGGAGGAGUUGGUUGCUGAGAGGGCUGUGAAGAGAAAGAUACAGAGGGAAAACUAGUCCUAGAGAAAGAACACAAGGUGGCUCCCAAGAGGAAGAAUAUAAGGAAACGCAGACGAUCAGCCAAACCUCAAUGUGACAAAGAGGCAAAUUCCAGUGCUUCCUUUGUAGAGACUGUUCUCUCAUGGCUACUGUCAGUCUUCCUAUGGCUGCAGGCAUUCUCACCAACAAUGUUAUGCUGGUCCCCAAAUAGUUUAUUUUGUAUAGUCAUGCUCGGGGUGGCAUCUGGCACUGGGGGUGUCUUUACAAGCACCGAUCACCAGAGUUUGUCAUGCAUCGCCUGCAAGAGUCCUGGAUGUGCUGCUGAUGUGACUAAGAUAUGGUGUGGAGAGGAUGAACUGUUGAAGGGGUUUACUGAUCCCACUCUGCACAAGCAUUUCCCAAAAGUCCAAGACUGUUUGCCAGCAUGCUGGUCGGACAUUUGUGCUUAUGAUUGAAGAGGGCAAGAAGUGUGAUAUGGAACAAUAUCAUGACCAUGUGCCCUCUGAAAAGACAGAGUGUCCAUCAUUGUUGGAGGCUGCUCAAGACUCAAGGUGACACCACUUUGUCAGCACCAACUCUCAAUGGUGAGCUAUAACAGAAGGGUUAGGUUUUAACUGUGUAUUAUUCUGAAUUAUUAACUAGGUAGUUCGAGCCCUGAAUGCCGAUUGGCUGACAGCUGUGGUAUAUCAGACCGUAUUCCACGGAUAUGACAGAACAUGUAUUUUUACUGAUCUAAUUACAUUGGUAACCAGUUUAUAGUAGCCAUAAGGCACCUCAGGGGUUUGUGGUAUAUGGCCAAUAUGUCACGGCUAAGGUCUGUAUCCAGGCACUCCAUGUUGCAUUGUGCAUAAGAACAGGCCUUAGGCGGGGUAUAUUGGCCAUAUACCAUAUCGAGUCGUGGCUGAACGACUACGCGGACAAUAUAGAGCUGGAGGGAUUUUCAAUGCACCGGCAGAACCGAGAAGCUAUGUCUGGUAAGACAAGGGGUGGGGUUGUGUCUUUUUAUCAAUAACAGCUGGUGCACGAUGUCUAAUAUAAAACAAGGGAUUGCUCGCCUGAGGUAGAGUACCUUAUCAUAAGCUGUAGACCACACUAUCUACCAAGAGUUCUCAUCUAUAUUAUUCGUAGCCGUCUACAUACCACCACAGACCGAUGCUGGCACUAAGAGCUCACUCAACCAACUCUAUAAGGCCAUAAGCAACAAAGAAAAUGCUCACCUAGAAGUGGCACUCCUAGUGGCCUGGGACUUUAAUGCAGGCAAACUUAAAUCUGUUUUACCAAAUUUUUACGAGCAUGUCACAUGUGCAACCAGAGGGGGGAAAAAAACUCUAGACCACCUUUACUCCACACAUAGAAACGCAUACAAAGCUCUCCCCCGCCCUCCAUUUGGCAAAUCUGACCAUAGUUCUAUCCUCCUGAUUCCUGCUUACAAGAAAAAAUGAAAUCAGGAAGUACCAGUGACUCGCUCAAUACAGAAGUGGUCAGAUGAUGCGGAUGCUACGCUAAAGGACUGUUUUGCUAGCACAGACUGGAAUAUGUUCUGGGAUUCAUCCAAUGGCAUUGAGGAGUAUAUCACCUCAGUCAUCGGCUUCAUCAAUAAGUGCAUCAACAACGACGUCGUCUCCACGGUGACCGUACGUACAUAUCCAAACCAGAAGCCAUGGAUUACAGGCAACAUCUGCAUCGAGCUAGAGGCAGGGCUUAAACUAUUACGGACUACAAAGGGAAACCCAGACACGAGCUGCCCAGUGACGCGGGCCUACCGGAGGAGCUAAAUGCCUUUUUAUGCUCGUUUCAAGGCAAGCAACACUGAAGCAUGCACGAGAGCACUAGCUGUUUGGAUGACUGUGUGAUAAUGCUCUCGGUAGCCAAUGUGAGAAAGACCUUUAAACAGGUCAACAUUCACAAAGCUGCGGAGCCAGAUGGAUUACCAGGACAUGUACUUGUACCAGACCUUCAGUUUCUUGGCAAUUUCUCACAUGGAAUAGCCUUCAUUUCUCAGAACAAGAAUAGACUGAUGAGUUUCAGAAGAAAGUUAUUUGUUUCUGGCCAUUUUGUGCCUGUAAUCGAACCCAUAAAUGCUGAUGCUCAAGAUACUCAACUAAUCUAAAGGACAGUUUUAUUGCUUCUUUAAACAGAACAACAGUUUACAGCUGUGCCAACAUAAUUGCAGAAGGAAUUUCUAAGAAUCAGUUAGCCUUUUUAAAAUGAUAAACUUGGAUUAGCUAACACAACGUGCCUUUGGAACACAGGAGUGAUGGUUGCUGAUAAUGGGCCUCUGUACACCUAUGUAGAUAUUCCAUUAAAAAUCAGCUGUUUCCAGCUAUAAUAGUCAUUUACUACAUUAACAAUGUCUACACUGUAUUUCUGAUCAAUUUGAUGUUAUUUUAAUUGACCAAAAAUGUGUUUCUUUCAAAAACAAGGACAUUUUAUAAAUGACCCCAAACUUUUGAACGGUAUUGUAUGUGAGAAUGCUGUUCAUUGACUACAGCUCAGCAUUCAACACCAUAGUCCCCACGAAGCUCAUCACUAAGCUAAGAACCCUGGGACUAAAUACCUCCCUCUGCAACUGGAUCCUCGACUUGCUGACUGUCUGUCCCCAGGUGGUAAGGAUAGGCAACCACACGUCUGCCACGCUGAUCCUCAACACUGGGGCCCUUCAGGGGUGUGUACUUAGUCCCCUCCUGUACUUCCUGUCCACCCACGACUGCGUGGCCAAACACGACUGCAACACCAUCAUUAAGUUUGCUGACUACACAACAGUGAUCACUGACAACGAUGAGACGGCCUAUAGGGAGGAGGUCAGAGAACUGGCAGUGUAGUGCCAGGACAAGAACCUCUCCCUCAACGUGAGCAAGACAAAGGCGCUGAUCGUGGACUACAGGAAAAGGUGGCCGAACAAGUCCCCUUUAACAUUAACUGGGCUGUAGUGGAGCGGGUCGAUAGUUUCAAGUUCCUUGGUGUCCACAUCACCAAUGAUCUAUCAUGGUCCAAACACACCAAGACAGUCAUGAAGAGGGCACGACAAAACCUUUUUCCCCCUCAGGAGACUGAAAAGAUUUGGCAUGGGUCCCCAGAUCCUCAAAGUUCAACAGCUGCAUCAUCGAGAGCUCUGGUUGCAUCACCACCUGGUAUGGCAACUGCUCAGCAUCUGACCAUAAGGCGCUACUGAGGGUGGUGCGUAUGGCCCAGUACAUCACUGGAGCCAAGCUUCCCGCAAUCCAGGACCUAUAUAAUAGCCAUACGACUGCUGAACAAUUAAUCAAAUGGCCAUCAGACUAUUACAUUUACAAUCCCCCCUUUGUUUUGUAUACUGCUGCUAACUGUUUAUUACCUAUGCAUAGUCACUUCACCCCUACCUACAUGUACAAAUUACCUGUACCCACGCACACUGACUCGGUACCGGUACCCCCUGUAUAUAGCCUAUUUAUUGUUAUGUUAUUAUUAUUUUUUACUUUAGUUUAUUUGGUAAAUAUUUUCUUAACUCUUCUUGAACUGCACUGUUUAAGGACUUGUAAGUAAACAUUUCAUGGUAAGGUCUACACUUGUUGUAUUCGGUGCAUGUGACAAAGGUUGAUUUGAUUCAACAGCUGAUAUGACUACCUCACCACCACCUGAAAAUGGUAAGAUCCAAUAGACAGAAUUACAAAGGUCAAACUGCCAUGUUUGUGCAAUUAAACAGUUUGUGAUUUUCUGUUCCCAUAGGUUCAUUGUUCGUCGGAGUCAUUGUCAUUUUAGUUAUUGGUACAUUUCAUUGAAAAGUGGGGGGGGGGGGACAAGCCUUUUGCUCCCUUGUUUCUUGCCAAUGGAAUGCUCUCCCUUACCCUCUGAGUGCUGCUCCACCAAUCCAAGCUUUUAAAAUGGGCCUUUAAAACCCACUUCUACAGACUUUUUCUCAUAGGUCUAAUCCCAAUCUGAAAACUGUUUUUUUUUUUGUGCAUCUAGCCCAUUUGCAUUUUUCUUUGCUUAAGUAGAGCCUUGAGAAGGACUCUAAGGAAAAGCACUAUGCACAUUAAAUGCAUUAUUAUUAAUAUUAGAUGGCUCUGCUACUGCUUUUCCUGUCGCCGCUGGCAUGGCUGUAGUUAAUCCUUUACUUGUAUUGCUAAAGUACUUCUACAGAAUAUGUCUUAUAAACAUGAAUUUGUAUAUUUUGUGAAGCGGGUCUUGCAGGCAUAACUAAUAUCAAUGAUUGCUUGAGGGCUAAGCUUUGAUGCUGCUGUAUCUGCUGCUGCUCUUGCCAUGGUCUCCUGUAUUCUUCUUCUGUUUAUUUCCUGGGCUUGAUUGCCUGACACUGCAGGGAUUAUCCUGUUACGAGGUGAGAUAUUAGUUUCUUUAGAAUAUCUUCCACAUUAUAUUCACCUGAUACUUAAUCAGUUCCAUGUUGAAAUUAUUGCUUCAUCUAUAGUUCCAGGUGCAGUUUAGCACCAUUAGAGCUUGCAUUACUCCUCUCAAAUGCUAGGAUCACAGUAUUAAGUCUUUGAAAGUAAUGUUUUUGAUUAAUUGGCACUUUUCUCUGUCAGGCUUUAUUGGUGUCGUUGUUGCAGUCUAUUUGAUCAGACAAAAGCAGCAGGGUGCCAGUAGAAACCAGUAAGUCUAAUAUUCAUGGUUUUAAUCAUAAUCAGAUGUAAGAUAUAUUGCGUGAUUACUGCUGCAUGUUUUGCUGCAGAGAUGAAGAGACUGAGAUGAGUGCUCUGAACAACGGUAUCAAUCAGAAUGGAGGUCCUGCCAAUAGAGACCAUAAUGAAGAGGUGGCUGUGAACAUGUUUGACAAUGGGGGAGCCAUCGGCAGUAAUGAGGGCCCGUGGAGCUGUCUCCGGCAGCAUGGUUAGCAAAGAGACUAUGGUACUAAUUGACCUGGCUCGUCUAUGAAGUGCCACAUUUUGAACAUGAACAUAAAAAACACAUCUUACAUUUUCAUUUCAACAGAGUGCGUGUUUGUGUAACUUGUGUUUUCAACAUAUUUCAGUGUGGAACAUAGAUGGCAUAAGACCCUGAUUUUAUUGAUCAGUGAAAAUGGAAUGCAAAUUAUUAAGGGAACUGCUUUGGGGCUUCACAUUUUUUGCUUUUUUUCCCAUCCUAUGGCUUACCUGUCCAUAUUUGUUCAAAUAAAUGAAAGAAUUAUGAACAAUUAGGUUGUCAUUCAAUCAACUCUAUGUUAAUUGCAGCAAUUAUAUAUGAGUUAUUCUACUUUUAAUUGUAGCCCUUGAGAUUUUGAGUGAACUCUGAUUUGGUUUUCACAUGCAUUUCUUUAUCCUUACUAGCAGAUUUUGAAAGUUUUAUGUUGAUACUUCACUUGAAUAGCUGUAGACACAUGACCUUAUACAUUUUUUAUCAUUAUGUAAUCUUUUGGGUAAGUUUGAGGAAAUCUCCUUGUAACCUGUCAAUAAUAAAACCUCAUAACACACUGUGUUUAACAUUCAUAAAACCCUACCAGCUGUUCUUCGUUGACUGUGCUUUAGGAGGAGAAACUUUAAUGCACUAUUCACAUUGGCGUUUGAAGUGGAAUGACACCCUGGUGCAGCGUUCAAGAGCGUGUCCCAA